GAUGAACGCUAGCGAUAGGCUUAACACAUGCAAGUCGAGGGGCAGCAUGGUCUUAGCUUGCUAAGACUGAUGGCGACCGGCGCACGGGUGCGUAACGCGUAUGCAACUUGCCUCACAGAGGGGGAUAACCCGUCGAAAGACGGACUAAUACCGCGUACACUCCAUCUUGGGCAUCCAAGGUAGAGGAAAUGAAAUUCGCUGUGAGAUAGGCAUGCGUCCCAUUAGCUAGUUGGUGAGGUAACGGCUCACCAAGGCGACGAUGGGUAGGGGAACUGAGAGGUUGAACCCCCACACUGGUACUGAGACACGGACCAGACUCCUACGGGAGGAAGCAGUGAGGAAUAUUGGUCAAUGGGCGAGAGCCUGAACCAGCCAAGUCGCGUGAAGGAUGACUGUCUUAUGGAUUGUAAACUUCUUUUAGACGGGAAUAACAAGAGUCACGUGUGACUCCCUGCAUGUACCGGAUGAAUAAGCAUCGGCUAACUCCGUG
This 490-nucleotide ribosomal RNA is filed under the name uncultured bacterium. RNAcentral describes it as "partial 16S ribosomal RNA". It matches the Rfam family "Bacterial small subunit ribosomal RNA", at positions 28 to 507 of the family's 1533-position model. The record is from RNAcentral.